GACGAACGCUGGCGGCGUGCUUAACACAUGCAAGUCGAACGGAAAGGCCCUGCUUUUGUGGGGUGCUCGAGUGGCGAACGGGUGAGUAACACGUGAGUAACCUGCCCUUGACUUUGGGAUAACUUCAGGAAACUGGGGCUAAUACCGGAUAGGAGCUCCUGCUGCAUGGUGGGGGUUGGAUAGUUUCGGCGGUUGGGGAUGGUCUCGCGGCUUAUCAGCUUGUUGGUGGGGUAGUGGCUUACCAAGGCCUUGACGGGUAGCCGGCAUGAGAGGGUGACCGGCCACAUUGGGACUCAGAUACGGCCCAGACUCCUACGGGAAGCAGCAGUGGGGAAUAUUGCACAGUGGGCGGAAGCCUGAUGCAGCAACGCCGCGUGCGGGAUGACGGCCUUCGGGUUGUAAACCGCUAUCGCCUGUGACGAAGCGUGAGUGACGGUAAUGGGUAAAGAAGCACCGGCUAACUACGUG
RNAcentral lists this ribosomal RNA (468 nucleotides) under uncultured bacterium. Its description in RNAcentral is "partial 16S ribosomal RNA". It matches the Rfam family "Bacterial small subunit ribosomal RNA", at positions 28 to 507 of the family's 1533-position model. The record is from RNAcentral.